UGGUAGUGAGUCAUCUAGGCA
Molecule: unclassified non-coding RNA, 21 nt
Filed under: Mus musculus (house mouse)
Lineage: Eukaryota; Metazoa; Chordata; Mammalia; Rodentia; Muridae
Description: oocyte_clustered_small_RNA2238
Source: RNAcentral